RNAcentral lists this ribosomal RNA (252 nucleotides) under uncultured bacterium. RNAcentral's name for it is "partial 16S ribosomal RNA". It matches the Rfam family "Bacterial small subunit ribosomal RNA", at positions 1234 to 1500 of the family's 1533-position model. The record is from RNAcentral.
CCGGGUACAAUGCGAAGCGAAGCAGCGAUGUGAAGCAAAUCGCACCAAAGCCGGUCCCAGUUCGGAUAAGAGGCUGAAACUCGCCUCUUUGAAGUCGGAAUCGCUAGUAAUCGCAGAUCAGCAUGUUGCGGUGAAUACGUUUCCUGGUCUUGUACACACCGCCCGUCAAACCAUGAGAGUCGCCAACACCCGAAGUCCGCUUUGCGGCCUAAGGUGGGGGAGAUGAUUGGGGUUAAGUCGUAACAAGGUAGC